AUCCCCUAACUGUCACAGUUAACAGUAAAAAAGAGAUUAUUAAUAGAAACCUUUGCUCUUCAGUUUGGUGCAGAAGGCUAUAGUCUUGUAGAAGAUAUCCAACAGCCAUUAGACAUGUCCUUCUUUUAUAUCCUGAAAGCUUCCUCUGCGGGAAUCUACAAGUGUCAAACAUAUUGAACCUAAUAAUCUUAUGAUGGUGGAGACCAUGCAAGAAUUUUUUUCUAAGUGGGACAAGAUGCUAGAAGUCAAUUGUUGUAGCUGGAACAUGCUAAGCUUCUACAAAAUAUCAUAUUUGUGCUACCAUCUGAGACAUACUCCCUUGGCAAGAAGUGUUAAAUACCAGCUUUCUGUUUUGCCUUUUGUGGGUCACUCUGUACUGCUGCAUAUAUACUGUUUUUUAUUCCUAAUAACCAGAAAUUCAACUUAGAACAACACAUCGUGUUUGCAAAAUAGAAGGUUUGCUCUUCAAGAUAAAUAAAAAAAUCAGAGUGACAAUUUAUUCUAUUUAUAAAAUUGUAUAUGCCACCUACUCAUUAGAUUCUCACUAGUUUACAAAAAUAAAAAUAUAAAACAGUAUAAAGAAAAAAACAUGUAAAAUCACAAUUAUUG
This is a long non-coding RNA of Pantherophis guttatus, 609 nucleotides long. RefSeq lists it as uncharacterized. The record is from RefSeq and is a predicted model, not a curated record. Lineage: Eukaryota; Metazoa; Chordata; Lepidosauria; Squamata; Colubridae.